GAAGGUAUAGCUCAGUGGUAGAGUGUGUGCUUAGCAUGCAUGAGGUCCUGGGAUCAAUCCCCAGUACCUCCA
RNAcentral lists this transfer RNA (72 nucleotides) under Camelus bactrianus (Bactrian camel). It matches the Rfam family "tRNA". From Rfam's summary of the family: Transfer RNA (tRNA) molecules are approximately 80 nucleotides in length. RNAcentral also lists the same sequence under 3 other names. The record is from Rfam by way of RNAcentral. Lineage: Eukaryota; Metazoa; Chordata; Mammalia; Artiodactyla; Camelidae.